AACGAACGCUGGCGGCAUGCCUAACACAUGCAAGUCGAACGAGACCUUCGGGUCUAGUGGCGCACGGGUGCGUAACGCGUGGGAACCUGCCCUUAGGUUCGGAAUAACUCCCCGAAAGGGGUGCUAAUACCAGAUAAUGUCUUCGGACCAAAGAUUUAUCGCCUUUGGAUGGGCCCGCGUUGGAUUAGCUAGUUGGUAGGGUAAAAGCCUACCAAGGCGACGAUCCAUAGCUGGUCUGAGAGGAUGAUCAGCCACACUGGGACUGAGACACGGCCCAGACUCCUACGGGAGGCAGCAGUGGGGAAUAUUGGACAAUGGGCGAGAGCCUGAUCCAGCAAUGCCGCGUGAGUGAUGAAGGCCUUAGGGUUGUAAAGCUCUUUUACCCGGGAUGAUAAUGACAGUACCGGGAGAAUAAGCUCCGGCUAACUCCGUG
RNAcentral lists this ribosomal RNA (433 nucleotides) under uncultured bacterium. RNAcentral's name for it is "partial 16S ribosomal RNA". It matches the Rfam family "Bacterial small subunit ribosomal RNA", at positions 29 to 507 of the family's 1533-position model. The record is from RNAcentral.